GUAUAAUUUUUAAGCUUGCAAGCAAGCUACAAAUAAACAUUCUAAACUUCUUUGGGUGUUAUUAAAAACAUAGACCAACUUUUUAAAGUCGGCCUACAAAAAGUGCACAGGGUGUGAAAUUUGGAAUGAAGGGCGUGCACAUAUCAUAAAUGAUCAGCUACAACCCAUUCAAAAAUUCAAUAAUGAUCCUUCCGCAGGUUCACCUACGGAAA
Molecule: unclassified non-coding RNA, 212 nt
Filed under: uncultured fungus
Lineage: Eukaryota; Fungi
Description: sequence contains ITS1
Source: RNAcentral